Neogale vison (American mink) is the source of this 100-nucleotide long non-coding RNA. RefSeq lists it as uncharacterized. The transcript has 3 exons. NCBI's taxonomy places the organism in Eukaryota, Metazoa, Chordata, Mammalia, Carnivora, Mustelidae. The record is from RefSeq and is a predicted model, not a curated record.
GAGGGGUGAGCGAGCAGAGUCUGCUUUUCAGGAAGCCCACCCAAGAGAGCUGGCUGUCGGCCACGUGAUGGGGAGCCAGAGACAGAGAUCACAAGUAGGC